GCGGGUAUAGCUGAAGUGGUAGAGCGCAUGCUUAGCAGGCAUAAGGUCCUGGGUUCAAUCCCCAGUACCUCCU
This 73-nucleotide transfer RNA is filed under the name Camelus bactrianus (Bactrian camel). It matches the Rfam family "tRNA". Rfam says of the family: Transfer RNA (tRNA) molecules are approximately 80 nucleotides in length. Their secondary structure includes four short double-helical elements and three loops (D, anti-codon, and T loops). Further hydrogen bonds mediate the characteristic L-shaped molecular structure. tRNAs have two regions of fundamental functional importance: the anti-codon, which is responsible for specific mRNA codon recognition, and the 3' end, to which the tRNAs corresponding amino acid is attached (by aminoacyl-tRNA synthetases). tRNAs cope with the degeneracy of the genetic code in two manners: having more than one tRNA (with a specific anti-codon) for a particular amino acid; and 'wobble' base-pairing, i.e. permitting non-standard base-pairing at the 3rd anti-codon position. Lineage: Eukaryota; Metazoa; Chordata; Mammalia; Artiodactyla; Camelidae. The record is from Rfam by way of RNAcentral. RNAcentral also lists the same sequence under 2 other names.